This 253-nucleotide ribosomal RNA is filed under the name uncultured bacterium. RNAcentral describes it as "partial 16S ribosomal RNA". It matches the Rfam family "Bacterial small subunit ribosomal RNA", at positions 524 to 776 of the family's 1533-position model. The record is from RNAcentral.
UACGUAGGGUGCAAGCGUUAUCCGGAUUUACUGGGUUUAAAGGGUGCGUAGGUGGGCAGGUAAGUCAGUGGUGAAAUCUCCGGGCUUAACCCGGAAACUGCCAUUGAUACUAUCUGUCUUGAAUAUCCUGGAGGUAAGCGGAAUAUGUCAUGUAGCGGUGAAAUGCUUAGAUAUGACAUAGAACACCAAUUGCGAAGGCAGCUAUCUACAGGAAUAUUGACACUGAGGCACGAAAGCGUGGGGAUCAAACAGG